Molecule: ribosomal RNA, 403 nt
Filed under: uncultured compost bacterium 5-10
Lineage: Bacteria
Description: bacterial SSU rRNA
Rfam family: Bacterial small subunit ribosomal RNA
Source: RNAcentral
GGGUAACCUGCCUGUAAGACUGGGAUAACUCCGGGAAACCGGGGCUAAUACCGGAUGGUUGUUUGAACCGCAUGGUUCAAACAUAAAAGGUGGCUUCGGCUACCACUUACAGAUGGACCCGCGGCGCAUUAGCUAGUUGGUGAGGUAACGGCUCACCAAGGCGACGAUGCGUAGCCGACCUGAGAGGGUGAUCGGCCACACUGGGACUGAGACACGGCCCAGACUCCUACGGGAGGCAGCAGUAGGGAAUCUUCCGCAAUGGACGAAAGUCUGACGGAGCAACGCCGCGUGAGCGAAGAAGGUCUUCGGAUCGUAAAGCUCUGUUGUUAGGGAAGAACAAGUAUCGGAGGAAAUGCCGGUACCUUGACGGUACCUGACGAGAAAGCCACGGCUAACUACGUGC